GAUGAACGCUGGCGGCGUGCCUAAUACAUGCAAGUCGAGCGAACAGAUAAGGAGCUUGCUCCUUUGACGUUAGCGGCGGACGGGUGAGUAACACGUGGGUAACCUACCUAUAAGACUGGAAUAACUCCGGGAAACCGGGGCUAAUGCCGGAUAACAUUUAGAACCGCAUGGUUCUAAAGUGAAAGAUGGUUUUACUAUCACUUAUAGAUGGACCCGCGCCGUAUUAGCUAGUUGGUAAGGUAACGGCUUACCAAGGCAACGAUACGUAGCCGACCUGAGAGGGUGAUCGGCCACACUGGAACUGAGAAACGGUCCAGACUCCUACGGGAGGCAGCAGUAGGGAAUCUUCCGCAAUGGGCGAAAGCCUGACGGAGCAACGCCGCGUGAGUGAUGAAGGUCUUCGGAUCGUAAAACUCUGUUAUUAGGGAAGAACAAAUGUGUAAGUAACUGUGCACGUCUUGACGGUACCUAAUCAGAAAGCCACGGCUAACUACGUG
This 497-nucleotide ribosomal RNA is filed under the name uncultured bacterium. Its description in RNAcentral is "partial 16S ribosomal RNA". It matches the Rfam family "Bacterial small subunit ribosomal RNA", at positions 28 to 507 of the family's 1533-position model. The record is from RNAcentral.